CCUGAGUCGAUUGUUGGUUGUUCCGAGAAGUUUUUGGCCGUUCGCAACUCCGCCCCCUAAUCGGUGUUGGCCGCGCAUGGCACCCGUCGGGCUUGAAAAGACAAUCAAGCCUGUCGAUGACGAGGUACCUAUCGUAGGGUUUUUUUCGAUUUUUUUCAAAAAAAAACUUUACGAUAGGUAUNGANUCAUCAACAUGCGUGGGGCGGUCGGUUUCGUUGCUUCGGAUCUUGCGUAUUUUCUAGAUGGACGUAAUUCGUUAAUCAUUCUUCGNUAGUGACCCGACUUAAUUGCCAUUUGCCAGCGUUUACGAGCGAUGUCGGUUGAGCUUUGCUCCGGCUUAGACUGCAAAAUAUACGUAUUGGGUAGCGUUNCGGGCCAUGUUGGUCGAGCUUUGCUCGACCUAGACUGCCGGUAUAAAACGCAGGCAACCGUGGACGAGCGAUGUUGGUUGAGCUUUGCUCCGGCCUGACUGCUAGUUACACGGAUGUAUGUUACUCGGGGCAUGUUUAGCGAAUUCACUGAACUCGAUGUAAAUACACCAGCAAGAGAUGAUGCAACGUAGCUCACCGUUUGGUUUCCUGAUUUCGUAUCGUUCGGUGCAUUCUGGGGCUGUUUUGGCUUUUGGUUGCUUGCUUCGCUUUAGGCAAAGCGGGUGGCUACUAGUCGGGGUGGCUUCGGGGAUGUUCUCCGUAAAGGUGCAUGAGUGGUGUUUGGUUUGUUACGUGUGGUUGGCUGCGGCGCUUGCAACAACUUCCACGCUCUCAUACCUYUUCAGUAGUGCGGCAAGGCUUGUAUCGCCUUGAGCGUAAUGUGGGUUUUCUGUGUUUUAUACCUAAUCAACGGUAUCGGUUGGAUAGAUAAAAAGUUGCUUUUCGCCUUGCGUUGCAUUUGCGGCGUGAGGUGAACCUGAAUGCGUUCUCUUUGGUCCACYUUGUCGCAGCACAAGCUUCGGCAUUGUGGCACAUUGAGUAUUGCUUGGUUUCUUGUAUACGGAACAUAAAGUGGGCAUGGAUCUAACGAUUCUUGUUUGCCCUUGUUUCAGCGUUCUCGCUUCUUUAAAACGACU
RNAcentral lists this unclassified non-coding RNA (1066 nucleotides) under Santolina pectinata. Its description in RNAcentral is "partial external transcribed spacer". Lineage: Eukaryota; Viridiplantae; Streptophyta; Magnoliopsida; Asterales; Asteraceae. The record is from RNAcentral.